This 280-nucleotide unclassified non-coding RNA is filed under the name Hevea brasiliensis (rubber tree). Lineage: Eukaryota; Viridiplantae; Streptophyta; Magnoliopsida; Malpighiales; Euphorbiaceae. The record is from RNAcentral.
UACAGCACAAGAACUCGAACAAUAAUAAAGUAAAUAGCCCCCUUAACAGUUCACAAAAUAUAAACUGCAUUGCUGACAACCCAGUCUCUCUCAGCACAUGAGAUGACAAUUUUGCCAUCAGUUAACCAUUAUCACUGGCCAAUUGUGCUGUAAAGUAUCCAAACAAUGUCAACAUUGUCUAGUCCCGUAACUCCCAUUAUCUGUACCACCAAUGCAACAGUAUCCAAGCCCAAUAAAUCCUCAUAAGAGAGCUGGUCAGCAUGCUGAAAUCAUAGCACAA